GGCUCUAUGGUCAAGCGGUUAAGACGCCGCCCUCUCAAGGCGGAAUCCCGAGUUCGAUUCUCGGUAGAGUCA
This 72-nucleotide transfer RNA is filed under the name Amygdalobacter indicium. RNAcentral's name for it is "Oscillospiraceae bacterium UPII 610-J tRNA-Glu". It matches the Rfam family "tRNA". Rfam says of the family: Transfer RNA (tRNA) molecules are approximately 80 nucleotides in length. Their secondary structure includes four short double-helical elements and three loops (D, anti-codon, and T loops). Lineage: Bacteria; Bacillati; Bacillota; Clostridia; Eubacteriales; Oscillospiraceae. RNAcentral also lists the same sequence under 1 other name. The record is from RNAcentral.